This 253-nucleotide ribosomal RNA is filed under the name uncultured bacterium. Its description in RNAcentral is "partial 16S ribosomal RNA". It matches the Rfam family "Bacterial small subunit ribosomal RNA", at positions 524 to 776 of the family's 1533-position model. The record is from RNAcentral.
UACAGAGGAUGCAAGCGUUAUCCGGAAUGAUUGGGCGUAAAGCGUCUGUAGGUGGCUUUUUAAGUCCGCCGUCAAAUCCCAGGGCUCAACUCUGGACAGGCGGUGGAAACUACCAAGCUGGAGUACGGUAGGGGCAGAGGGAAUUUCCGGUGGAGCGGUGAAAUGCGUAGAGAUCGGAAAGAACGCCCGUGGCGAAAGCGAGGUCCUGGACGCCUACUGACGCUGAGACGCGAAAGCCAGGGGAGCGAACGGG